This 144-nucleotide ribosomal RNA is filed under the name uncultured bacterium. Its description in RNAcentral is "partial 16S ribosomal RNA". It matches the Rfam family "Bacterial small subunit ribosomal RNA", at positions 355 to 516 of the family's 1533-position model. The record is from RNAcentral.
UAGGGAAUAUUGCUCAAUGGGGGAAACCCUGAAGCAGCAACGCCGCGUGGAGGAUGAAGGUUUUCGGAUUGUAAACUCCUUUUGUUAGAGAAGAUAAUGACGGUAUCUAACGAAUAAGCACCGGCUAACUCCGUGCCAGCAGCC